CUUAGGGUACAAAUUAUAAAUUUUAUGCUAUGAAGAUUUUUAGGAAAAAACCCGAAAAAACCGAAAUAUUCUAGAAAAUUCGUGAUUGAAAAAUUCGACUUUUAUGGUUUGGUUUGGUUUGGUAACUAAAAAAUUCGAAUCAAUCCAGCCUAUGUAUACCCCUAAUCAUCAUCAUACUAAUAUUAUAGUAUCAUAAGCAUAAAGAUCAAAAAUUAAAUGUGAAAAACUGUAAUGACCCUACAAUAUCAUUGGGCUUUUAUGACCUUAAAACCUAUAAUAUUAACAAUACAUUCAAUAUUAAUAAACAAAAUAGGUCGGCUACAGAAGUUUGUUUUGGAACGUUAAAUUUGACUUGGAAUAUCAAAGAAUUUAUUAAGGUAUAUGUAUCUAAAUUCUUCACUUUACGAAGUUAAGCUCUUUAACUUCCCAAGCGUAUAAUAAAUUUUCUGAGCUAAGAUUUAUAAUUCUUAUAUUUUAUCUUCCCCUUCUAUUUUCUUAGCUUAAAUUUUUAUAUUGUUAUGAUUUUUAAUGCAAUUCUUUUUCUUGUAAUAACAAUCUGGAUUCAAACCAUUUUACCAUCCAUGUAUAAAUCACAUAAAUUGGAUGGAGGGAGUAUAUUUUGUAUCUAUGAUUCACACCCCAACAACUACCAGAUUUUACGUGGGAAAAAAAACCCACUGCGGAGAUUAGAACUAUUGGUAGAAAAACACAAACCAAGUCUUGCAAUCAAAUUAUUUGAUCAUUUAUUAAUUGAACCAAGCCUUCAACAAAGUAUUUGAUCCAUACCUAAUUAAGCCACCCUUUCGUUGGUACCAGAAGUUCCAUCUUCAUUAUUGUCUUUGUUUAAUACUGAAGGCGACACUUUGG
This 867-nucleotide long non-coding RNA is filed under the name Nicotiana benthamiana. RNAcentral's name for it is "long non-coding RNA (NBEN_LNC005993)". The record is from RNAcentral. Lineage: Eukaryota; Viridiplantae; Streptophyta; Magnoliopsida; Solanales; Solanaceae.